GCAACGAUCCAGCAACGACCCGACGGCAUCGCGGCUGAUCGCGAGGAUCAGGGUGACACAAAAAAACACGGACGUGCGUCAUCGUUCCUUUCUGAGAACUAGACGCCGGGCUCGGUCGAGCGUGCGAUUCGACCACACGAUCGAAGGAUGCUGGCCCGCUGCCUAAUUUUCGCAGGUGCAGCUGCUGUAGUAACGUCCGCGGGCGGGCACGGCUUUGACGCGCACCUACGCGGCCCCAGCUUCGUGCUGGAACCGCCAUCGAGGAUUGAAUUCUCGAAUUCUAGCGGCGCCUGGUUGGACUGCACGGCCUCCGGAAGUCCGCCGCCCAACAUCGAUUGGUCUACCGCGGAUGGACAUCCGGUGAACGAUGUAUCAGGAGUGCGGAGGGUACUCAGAAACGGCACCCUGGUGCUCCUGCCGUUUCCGGCAGCGGCCUACCGGCAAGAUGUUCAUAGCGCUGCGUACAGAUGCGUGGCGAGCAACACCGUCGGGAGAGUGCUCAGUCGUGACGUACAAGUCAGAGCAGUGGUGGCUCAAGCAUACAAAGUCGACGUGGAGGUGACAGGGGGUGCAUCGAGGGGAUGCACCGCGAUAUUACGCUGCAUCAUACCCAGCUACGUCAAAGAUUUGGUGCGCGUUGUAUCCUGGCUGCACGAGCCUUCAUCCUACAUAUAUCCCUCACUACAAGGAGAUGGCAAGUUCCACCUGCUUCCCACGGGAGAGCUUCUGGUACACAGCCUAGAGUUCAGCGACCAGCUGAACGGCUACAGAUGCCGCACGAUGCACCGUCUCACGAGACAAGUGGUCGUUAGUUCUAUGGCCAACAUUAGAAUAGCAGAUCACAGAGGCGUAAUGCCUCCCGUGAUACUCGAAAACUCCGGCGUCGUUCAUGUCGCCCAGGACGAAUCGACGUCGUUAGUCUGCGUGGCGCAAGCUUGUCCUUCGCCUGAAUACCGGUGGUUCGCGCAAACAGGAGCGGAGCUAAUGUUGGUACUCUCCGGACCCAGAACCAGACUUCUUGGUUCUGUGCUGGCCAUCGAGGCGGUAACGUUAGAGGACAGCGGUGUGUACCGUUGCACCGCUUCUAACCCUGGUGGCGAAACGAGCGCUGAUAUCAGGUUAAUCGUGACAGCGCCUCUUCACGUGGAAGUGACGCCCCCGUUGCUCAGCGUUCACUUGGGAGGUAAUGCCGAGUUCAGAUGUGAAGUUGGAACGCAUCCGCAGGCCGGACCGCACUUUAUCACAUGGUAUAAGGAUGGCCGGCAACUUCCAGGGACAGGAAGACAAUCGGAAUUAUUGAAGCUCAACGGAAUCGGAAGGGAGGAUCGCGGCAUGUAUCAGUGCAUUGUGAGAAGGUCGGAAGGGGAUACAGCUCAAGCAUCGGCGGAACUUCAACUAGGCGACGCGCCGCCCGUGCUUCUGUACUCGUUCAUCGAGCAAACUCUCCAGCCAGGACCCGCCGUGUCCUUAAAAUGUUCCGCCGCAGGAAAUCCUACACCUCAGGUAUCAUGGGCGUUGGACGGUUUUCCCUUACCGACUAAUGGAAGGUUCGUCAUUGGUCAAUACGUAACGGUGCACGGUGACGUCAUAUCCCACGUCAAUAUAAGCCAUGUCAUGGUGGAGGACGGAGGUGAAUAUUCCUGCACUGCCGAAAAUCGCGCGGGAAAGGUGACACAUGCUGCACGAUUGAAUGUUUAUGGGCUUCCCUACAUACGCCUGAUUCCGAAAGUGACCGCCGUUGCCGGGGAGACUCUCCGUUUAAAGUGCCCGGUGGCUGGAUAUCCGAUCGAAGAGAUCAAGUGGGAGAGAGCCAAUCGCGAACUACUGGACGAUCUGCGUCAGAAGGUGCUUCCGGAUGGUACUCUGAUGAUCAGCAGCGUACAGAAGAAGGGCGAUGCCGGGGUGUACACUUGCUGGGCGAGGAACAAGCAAGGUCACAGCGCCAGGAGAUCCGGAGAUGUCGCAGUGAUCGUUCCCCCCAAAAUUAGCCCGUUCACGGCAGAUCGCGACCUGCACCUCGGCGAACGCACCACCCUGACAUGUUCGGUGACCAGAGGCGAUCUGCCGCUGUCCAUCACUUGGCUCAAGGAUGGACGCUCAAUGGGGCCGUCGGAGCGUGUCACUGUCACCAAUAUGGACCAGUACAAUAGCAUACUGAUGAUUGAAAGUUUAUCUCCAGAUCACAACGGCAACUACUCGUGCGUGGCCCGUAACGUGGCCGCAGAGGUAUCGCACACGCAGCGGCUUGUGGUUCAUGUGCCGCCCAGAUGGAUCGUCGAGCCAACUGACGUGAGCGUCGAGAGGAAUCGCCACGUCGCGCUGCACUGCCAGGCGCAGGGCGUCCCGACGCCGAUGAUCGUAUGGAAAAAAGCCACCGGAAGCAAAGCCGGUGAUUACGAGGAGUUGCGUGAAAGAACAUAUACCAAGAUUCUCAGUAACGGUACUCUGUUGCUGCAGCACGUGAAAGAAGAUCGGGAGGGCUUCUACCUGUGUCACGCGAGUAAUGGCAUAGGAAGCGGAUUAGGCAAAGUCGUGCAACUAAAGGUCAAUUCAUCCCCGUAUUUUGCGGCGCCGUCGCGACUUGUUACCGUAAAGAAAGGGGAUACAGCGACGUUACACUGCGAAGUACACGGGGAUAAGCCGGUUACUGUUACCUGGCUGAAAGGCGGUAAAAGCGAGCUGAAUCCCUCAACGAAUUACCGCGUCGCGGUGAAACAGGAAGUAACGCCAGACGGUGUCAUCGCGCAACUGCAAAUCUCAUCGGCGGAAGCCGUCGACAGCGGUGCGUACUUUUGCCAAGCGAACAAUCUUUACGGUCGUGAUCAGCAGCUGGUGCAACUCCUCGUUCAAGAGCCACCCCAACCACCGAGCGCCCUAGAAACUGCCAUGGUGGCGAGUCGCAGCAUUAACGUUAAGUGGCAACAUAAGUCACAGGACACCAGCGAGGUCAACAAGUACAUUGUCCAAUACAAAGAGGGCGAAGGUGGAAUGUGGCAGCAACAAGAGUACGCCGGACCACCCUUGGUAUACGCGGCAUUGAUCGAUAAAUUAAAACCCGCCACGAGAUACACCAUACGUGUAAUAGCGGAAGGUCCAGCGGGCCGAUCUGUUCCCUCGGCGGAGCUCAUCAUUAGAACCGAACCGCAGAAACCAGCUGGUCCGCCGAUGAACAUCGCGGCUAGGCCUCUCUCCUCAUCCGAAAUUCUCGUCACUUGGUCACCACCACUACCGGAACUUCGUCAUGGUGACAUACAAGGUUUCAACGUCGGCUAUAAAGAAACAAGCUCGAAUAAUCCAGCGUACAACUUCAGCUCUGUCUCAGGUGAUGGAGAAGAAGGCGGUGGAGAACUUCGACUUACAGGUCUCAGGCCGUACACCAGAUACACCCUCGUUGUUAGAGCUUACAAUCAGGUUGGACCAGGACCUCUAUGCGAACCGUUGAUCACGCAGACCUUGGAAGACGUACCCAGUAUGCCACCGGAUGAUGUGAGAUGUGCUGCACUCACGUCACAGUCUUUGCAAGUAUCCUGGCAACCCCCGCCUAAUUCACACAGCAAUGGCAUUAUCCAAGGUUACAAAUUGAAUUAUGAACCGAUUUUGGCAGACGCGUGGCGAGGGGUGGACGAAAUGGAGGUCCGUAAAACGAGCGCUCUGACAACAGUUUUAACUGGACUCAGACGAUACACUAAUUACACUAUCCAAGUUUUGGCUUAUACCAGAAUUGGCGACGGUGUGCCCUCUGCAACGAUUUAUUGCCAGACGGAGGAAGACGUACCGGGCAGUCCGGCUGAUAUCAAGGUCGUCGUAAGUUCGCCGCAAGCUCUCUUCAUCUCAUGGCUACCACCACUCGAACCAAAUGGAAUUAUUACGAAAUACAAUCUUUAUACAAGAGUCGUCGACGGACGAGAGGAGCUCAAUCAUGGCAAGAAGACGUUACCGGCGACGAGCACAUUUUUCGAGGCGACCGACCUGCAACAACACGUCGAAUAUCAAUUCUGGGUGACUGGUAGCACCCGGAUGGGCGAAGGUCAGAGUUCGAGGGUAACGGCGCAAGUGCCGACAAAUCGAGUGCCAGCCAGGAUCACGUCCUUCGGCGGGCAUGUGGUGCGUCCGUGGCGUGGUUCAGCGACACUGGCGUGCAACGCGGUCGGAGAUCCGACGAGAGACUGGUACAAGGGUACCACGGAACAGAUACGCACCGAUCCCACCAGAAACGUGCAGAUCUUGGCAAACGGGGAACUCGUAUUAUCAAAUCUGCAGUCGCAAGACAGCGGGAAUUAUACCUGUCAAGUGGAGAACUCCCAAGGCAGCGAUAAACUGCAUUACACUCUCACGGUGCAAGUUCCGCCCAGUGCUCCUGUAUUGUACGUAACCAGCUCUACGUCGAGCAGCGUGUUAUUGCAUUGGAAAUCCGAGCAUAACGGUGGUGCGCCUUUGACGGGCUAUACACUGUAUUAUCGAACUACUCAUGGUACCCUUGAUGAGUUACAGUUAUCUCGCCACGCUACUAGCCAUGAACUAAAGGGGCUUCUGUGCGGCAAUACGUAUCAGUUGUAUCUAACGUCGCACAAUAAAAUCGGCAGCAGUCCAUCGUCUCCGGUGCUCUCAGUUCGAACUCAGGGACAAGCUCCGGGAAUCCCGCCGGCGGCUGCCUUUCUCAGUCCGAAUUCCACUACUCUGGUGCUACGAUUGCACGUCUGGCCCGAUAACGGUUGCCCCAUAAAGUAUUUUGUCAUUCAGUAUAGGCCGAUAAACGAGUUUCACUGGACCCUGGUAUCGAAUAACGUUAAAAUGCAACGGCGAUUCGUCGUGACAAAUCUAACACCCAGCUCAGUCUAUCAGCUUAAAGUCGAGGCCCAUAACGUGGCCGGCAGCAAUCAAGCAGAGUUCACCUUUGUAACCUUGACGAAAGAGGGUGAAAUACCGCCGCCAGGAUUGUCGAAACGUGGGAUGACAUCGACCAUGCCGUUUUAUGCGGAUGUUAAAGUAAUGCUGCCGUUGAUCGUGGCUACUGUUGCAUUAGUCGCCGCAACGAUAAUCGUUGCCUUUCGCUGGAAAAACAGAUACUUGGGGGGUCAAAUGCAACGGCCGAUGAAGGAGUCACAAGAGAAUCAACAAAACGCAGAGACGCAACGAGAGCGUUAUUAUGCCACGAUACAUAAAGUGGCUUUGCAACAAGCGGCGAAUACGGGUGCAGGGCCCGACAAGAUUCCAGGUGAACCUUUGUUACGAUAUGGACAACCACCAGGUUUGGUACUAUAAUUACUGUUGUGCAGGUACGAGCCGGGCGCUUUUAGCGCCGCUCAACAGUGACACAAGGCUACUUCUAAAAAAAGACAGCGGAGGACAUUUCGCCGUACGCUACGUUCCAGCUUUCGGAGGGUGGCGGGGGAAGCCUGG
Molecule: unclassified non-coding RNA, 5400 nt
Filed under: Pogonomyrmex barbatus (red harvester ant)
Lineage: Eukaryota; Metazoa; Arthropoda; Insecta; Hymenoptera; Formicidae
Description: down syndrome cell adhesion molecule-like protein Dscam2, transcript variant X1
Source: RNAcentral